This 468-nucleotide ribosomal RNA is filed under the name uncultured bacterium. Its description in RNAcentral is "partial 16S ribosomal RNA". It matches the Rfam family "Bacterial small subunit ribosomal RNA", at positions 28 to 507 of the family's 1533-position model. The record is from RNAcentral.
GACGAACGCUGGCGGCGUGCUUAACACAUGCAAGUCGAACGGAAAGGCCCUGCUUUUGUGGGGUGCUCGAGUGGCGAACGGGUGAGUAACACGUGAGUAACCUGCCCUUGACUUUGGGAUAACUUCAGGAAACUGGGGCUAAUACCGGAUAGGAGCUCCUGCUGCAUGGUGGGGGUUGGAAAGUUUCGGCGGUUGGGGAUGGACUCGCGGCUUAUCAGCUUGUUGGUGGGGUAGUGGCUUACCAAGGCUUUGACGGGUAGCCGGCCUGAGAGGGUGACCGGCCACAUUGGGACUGGGAUGCGGCCCAGACUCCUACGGGAGGCAGCAGUGGGGAAUAUUGCACUACGGGCGGAAGCCUGAUGCAGCGACGCCGCGUGCGGGAUGACGGCCUUCGGGUUGUAAACCGCUUUCGCCUGUGACGAAGCGUGAGUGACGGUAAUGGGUAAAGAAGCACCGGCUAACUACGUG